RNAcentral lists this ribosomal RNA (253 nucleotides) under uncultured bacterium. RNAcentral describes it as "partial 16S ribosomal RNA". It matches the Rfam family "Bacterial small subunit ribosomal RNA", at positions 524 to 776 of the family's 1533-position model. The record is from RNAcentral.
GACGAACCGUGCAAACGUUGUUCGGAAUCACUGGGCAUAAAGGGUGCGUAGGCGGCGCGGUAAGUCGGGUGUGAAAUCUCGGGGCUUAACUCCGAAACUGCAUUCGAUACUGCCGUGCUUGAGGACUGGAGAGGAGACUGGAAUUUACGGUGUAGCGGUGAAAUGCGUAGAUAUCGUAAGGAAGACCAGUGGCGAAGGCGGGUCUCUGGACAGUUCCUGACGCUGAGGCACGAAGGCCAGGGGAGCAAACGGG